This is a non-coding RNA of Gnomoniopsis smithogilvyi, 139 nucleotides long. NCBI's taxonomy places the organism in Eukaryota, Fungi, Ascomycota, Sordariomycetes, Diaporthales, Gnomoniaceae. The record is from the annotation of a GenBank genome assembly.
GCUCGCGUAACGCAGUGGUAGCGUGUUGCUCUUAUAUGUCUGGGCUAGUCCAGAUCAUAUGACGUUUAUAACCCUCGGGAAACCCUGGGAUAUUUAUAAUGAUAUGCAAAAGUCGCGAGUUCGACCCUCGCCGUGAGCA